GAUGAACGCUGGCGGCGUGCCUAAUACAUGCAAGUCGAGCGAACAGACGCGGAGCUUGCUCCUCUGACGUUAGGGGCGGACGGGUGAGUAACACGUGGAUAACCUACCUAUAAGACUGGGAUAACUUCGGGAAACCGGAGCUAAUACCGGAUAACAUGUUGAAGCGCAUGGUUCAACGGUGAAAGACGGUUUUGCUGUCACUUAUAGCUGGAUCCGCGCCGCAUUAGCUAGUUGGUAAGGUAACGGCUUACCACGGCAACGAUGCGUAGCCGACCUGAGAGGCUGAUCGGCCACACGAGAACUGAGACACGGUCCAGACUCCUACGGGAGGCAGCAGUAGGGAAUCUUCCGCAGUGGGCGAAAGCCUUACGGAGCAACGCCGCGUGAGUGAAGAAGGUCUUCGGAUCGGAAAACUCUGUUAUUAGGUAAGAACAAAUGUGUAAGUAACUAUGCACGUCUUGACGGUACCUAAUCAGAAAGCCACGGCUAACUACGUG
RNAcentral lists this ribosomal RNA (497 nucleotides) under uncultured bacterium. RNAcentral's name for it is "partial 16S ribosomal RNA". It matches the Rfam family "Bacterial small subunit ribosomal RNA", at positions 28 to 507 of the family's 1533-position model. The record is from RNAcentral.